This 586-nucleotide ribosomal RNA is filed under the name uncultured bacterium. RNAcentral describes it as "partial 16S ribosomal RNA". It matches the Rfam family "Bacterial small subunit ribosomal RNA", at positions 355 to 1375 of the family's 1533-position model. The record is from RNAcentral.
UGGGGAAUUUUGGACAAUGGGCGAAAGCCUGAUCCAGUAAUGCCGCGUGUGUGAAGAAGGCCUUCGGGUUGUAAAGCACUUUUGUCCGGAAAGAAAUCCUUGGCUCUAAUACAGUCGGGGGAUGACGGUACCGGAAGAAUAAGCACCGGCUAACUACGUGCCAGCAGCCGCGGUAAUACGUAGGGUGCAAGCGUUAAUCGGAAUUACUGGGCGUAAAGCGUGCGCAGGCGGUUUGCUAAGACCGAUGUGAAAUCCCCGGGCUCAACCUGGGAACUGCAUUGGUGACUGGCAGGCUAGAGUAUGGCAGAGGGGGGUAGAAUUCCACGUGUAGCAGUGAAAUGCGUAGAGAUGUGGAGGAAUACCGAUGGCGAAGGCAGCCCCCUGGGCCAAUACUGACGCUCAUGCACGAAAGCGUGGGGAGCAAAACAGGAUUAGAUACCCUGGUAGUCCACGCCCUAAACGAUGUCAACUAGUUGUUGGGGAUUCAUUUCCUUAGUAACGUAGCUAACGCGUGAAGUUGACCGCCUGGGGAGUACGGUCGCAAGAUUAAAACUUAAAUGAAUUGACGGGGUCAUAGCUGUUUCCU